GUUGAACGCUAGCGGGAUGCCUUACACAUGCAAGUCGAACGGCAGCGCGGACUUCGGUCUGGCGGCGAGUGGCGAACGGGUGAGUAAUGUAUCGGAACGUGCCCAGUAGCGGGGGAUAACUACUCGAAAGAGUAGCUAACACCGCAUACGCCCUACGGGGGAAAGGGGGGGAUCGCAAGACCUCUCACUAUUGGAGCGGCCGAUAUCGGAUUAGCUAGUUGGUGAGGUAAAGGCUCACCAAGGCGACGAUCCGUAGCUGGUUUGAGAGGACGACCAGCCACACUGGGACUGAGACACGGCCCAGACUCCUACGGGAGGCAGCAGUGGGGAAUUUUGGACAAUGGGGGCAACCCUGAUCCAGCCAUUCCGCGUGUGCGAUGAAGGCCUUCGGGUUGUAAAGCACUUUUGGCAGGAAAGAAAUCGCACGGAUUAAUACUCUGUGUGGAUGACGGUACCUGCAGAAUAAGCACCGGCUAACUACGUGCCAGCAGCCGCGGUAA
Molecule: ribosomal RNA, 500 nt
Filed under: uncultured bacterium
Lineage: Bacteria
Description: partial 16S ribosomal RNA
Rfam family: Bacterial small subunit ribosomal RNA
Source: RNAcentral